Molecule: long non-coding RNA, 319 nt
Organism: Lemur catta (Ring-tailed lemur)
Lineage: Eukaryota; Metazoa; Chordata; Mammalia; Primates; Lemuridae
Exons: 3
Source: RefSeq, a predicted model, not a curated record
CAGGGCCAAUCAUCAACACCAAAAUCUGGAAAGACAAGGACAUCCAGAGAGAUACAGCCACAGAGAUCCGCUUACUGGAACAGAAACAAAUGGACCCGCAAACUGAUCAACGGCACCCAGCAGCCAAUGGCUGAAAAUCUGGAACACUGCGAACUUCAGCGUCCCAACAGGGAUCAACCUACAAGCUUAGCCUUACCUGUUCCUGAUGUUAAUGGAGCUCACUUGCCAGUAAUUACCAAGAGACUGGUUCUGUCCUAGCCUCAUACCUUGCUCAAAGGGACAUUAUUCCUGUGGACACCAGUAUUUGGAAGUAUUUGAA